Molecule: long non-coding RNA, 698 nt
Organism: Nasonia vitripennis (jewel wasp)
Lineage: Eukaryota; Metazoa; Arthropoda; Insecta; Hymenoptera; Pteromalidae
Exons: 2
Source: RefSeq, a predicted model, not a curated record
AGAGAGAGAGAGAGAGAGAGAGAGGAGAGAGGGAUCGACGACUCUCGCGCGAUACUUUCGCGACUCGGCGCAGCCCGACUAAGUAUCUGCCGCGAAGAGUAAGCGCAGCAGCAGCAGCAGCAGCUCGAGCGAACGUAGCGGUGGCGCUGCCAGGCUAUGACGAGAGAGAUGCUCUAUCUCUUUUCCUCUCGCUCUCGCGCUUCCGUGGGAGUAUAGUGAGAGCGCAGGGGCUCCCGCUAAGUGAAGAGUCGACGAUGUAUAUAUAUACCUAUGUAUAGAUACAUACAACACAUGUCGGAGAGGGACAGCUGGGAUGUGCGCAUAUGUUUCGGCGGUAAUAUAAUGGCCGGACUGCUGAUGCUGCUGUUGGGGGCGUUUAUACGUCCCCGUUUAUACUUUUUAGAGUUUUUGUACACCAGUAGUUUUUUACGCAGUGCAGCGUAACUGUUUUUGAAUUUAUAGCGACGAACUUUUAUUAGCUUUUUAUUAGUUUCUUGCUCGAUCAGAACAUGAUCAAUUAUUUAUACACAUAAACGUAUUUUAGUAAUUUAAAUUAAUUAAUGAUUAAUUUUAGCAACUGCGUGAUUACAGUAAUUUUCAUUUUUCAAUAAAACAUACAACAUCGAUUUAAAAACAGCCAAGGAGUAUAAUAACGUUUGCAAGUAUAAAGCGAAUCGAGUUGCUCCUCGGCAUGUCAU